UAGGGAAUCUUCGGCAAUGGGGGCAACCCUGACCGAGCAACGCCGCGUGAGUGAAGAAGGUUUUCGGAUCGUAAAGCUCUGUUGUAAGAGAAGAACGUGUGUGAGAGUGGAAAGUUCACACAGUGACGGUAACUUACCAGAAACGGACGGCUAACUACGUGCCAGCAGCCGCGGUAAUACGUAGGUCCCGAGCGUUGUCCGGAGUUAUUGGGCGUAAAGCGAGCGCAGGCGGUUUAAUAAGUCUGAAGUUAAAGGCAGUGGCUUAACCAUUGUGUGCUUUGGAAACUGUUAAACUUGAGUGCAGAAGGGGAGAGUGGAAUUCCAUGUGUAGCGGUGAAAUGCGUAGAUAUAUGGAGGAACACCGGUAGCGAAAGCGGCUCUCUGGUCUGUAACUGACGCUGAGGCUCGAAAGCGUGGGGAGCAAACAGG
Molecule: ribosomal RNA, 429 nt
Filed under: bacterium
Lineage: Bacteria
Description: partial 16S ribosomal RNA
Rfam family: Bacterial small subunit ribosomal RNA
Source: RNAcentral